RNAcentral lists this ribosomal RNA (497 nucleotides) under uncultured bacterium. Its description in RNAcentral is "partial 16S ribosomal RNA". It matches the Rfam family "Bacterial small subunit ribosomal RNA", at positions 28 to 507 of the family's 1533-position model. The record is from RNAcentral.
GAUGAACGCUGGCGGCGUGCCUAAUACAUGCAAGUCGAGCGAACGGACGAGAAGCUUGCUUCUCUGAGGUUAGCGGCGGACGGGUGAGUAACCCGUGGAUAACCUACCUAUAAGACGGGGAUAACUUCGGGAAACCGGAGCUAAUACCGGAUAAUAUUUUGAACCGCAUGGUUCAAAAGUGAAAGACGGUCUUGCUGUCACUUAUAGAUGGAUCCGCGCUGCAUUAGCUAGUUGGUAAGGUAACGGCUUACCAAGGCAACGAUGCAUAGCCGACCUGAGAGGGUGAUCGGCCACACUGGAACUGAGACACGGUCCAGACUCCUACGGGAGGCAGCAGUAGGGAAUCUUCCGCAAUGGGCGAAAGCCUGACGGAGCAACGCCGCGUGAGUGAUGAAGGUCUUCGGAUCGUAAAACUCUGUUAUUAGGGAAGAACAUAUGUGUAAGUAACUGUGCACAUCUUGACGGUACCUAAUCAGAAAGCCACGGCUAACUACGUG